This 69-nucleotide transfer RNA is filed under the name Ergatettix dorsifera. RNAcentral describes it as "tRNA-Met". Lineage: Eukaryota; Metazoa; Arthropoda; Insecta; Orthoptera; Tetrigidae. The record is from RNAcentral.
AAGAAGGUAAGCUAAUUAAGCUACUGGGUUCAUACCCCAUUUAUGGAAAAUAAAAAUUUCCCCUUCUUA